RNAcentral lists this ribosomal RNA (488 nucleotides) under Haddadus binotatus (clay robber frog). Its description in RNAcentral is "partial small subunit ribosomal RNA". It matches the Rfam family "Bacterial small subunit ribosomal RNA", at positions 794 to 1522 of the family's 1533-position model. Lineage: Eukaryota; Metazoa; Chordata; Amphibia; Anura; Craugastoridae. The record is from RNAcentral.
GCCUAAAUGUAAACCUUUAUUUACAUCACCAUCGCCAGGAUACUACAAGCCACGCUUAAAAACCAAGGGACUUGACGGUAUCUCAUACCCCACUAGAGGAGCCUGUCGCACAAUCGAUAACCCCCGCUAAACCUCACCACUCUUAGCUUAUUCAGCCUGUAUACUUCCGUCGCAGCCUAUCAUAUGAGUGAAUCUUAAUAGGCCAAAUGAUUUUCAUCAAUACGUCAGGUCAAAGUGCAGCCAACAGAGCGGAAGCAGAUGGGCUACAUUUUCUAAGUUAGACCAUACGAAAGAUUAAAUGAAACAUAAUCAGAAGGUGGAUUUAGUAGUAAGGGCAAAACAGAGAGCUCCCCUUAAUACAGGCACUGGGAUGUGUACAAACCGCCCGUCACCCUCUUCAAAUCUAAACAAUAGUAUCUAACAUCAUUAAAACAACAGAAGAGGUAAGUCGUAACAUGGUAAGUGUACCGGAAGGUGCUCUUGGAAAC